This is a long non-coding RNA of Venturia canescens, 2306 nucleotides long. RefSeq lists it as uncharacterized. NCBI's taxonomy places the organism in Eukaryota, Metazoa, Arthropoda, Insecta, Hymenoptera, Ichneumonidae. The record is from RefSeq and is a predicted model, not a curated record. The transcript has 2 exons.
CGUUCAUUUCGUUGAACUCCAACGUUGCAAACUUCAGCGUCGUUUUUGGUACAAGACAAGAUUAGGGGUGUUGGCGAAAGGUAGUUGAGAAUCGAGAUCUAGCCCGAGUCAAAGUUUGGGGAGCGAAGCUCGUUCUGCAUUCUAAAAAUAAAGAGCGUGCUUGCACAUUAGAACGAGACAAAGAGCGUGGCGCGAGAGAGGAGAGAGGGGCGGGGGGAUUUGAAGGAGAACGCGAGGCGCUCGUCGUUCGGCGACGAGUGUGUUGGCCAUUUCGAAAGCCUCGUCCAAAAAUGGUGAAGGGUUUGAAAGCCUCUGUUUUCGUUCGUCUCGUGCCUGCGAUCUUUCUUUCUCUUCGUUUCAUUCGACUCCCGACCUUUCUCCUGCACUAUUCUUUUCUUCGUUUUACCGUUUUCUGGGUUUUCUCUCGAUCUCUCUCCUCCACGCGUUGUCUAUCUGGCUGCAUUUUUUAUUUCCGCGUUUGUUGUUUUUUCAAUCUCGCACGAUCUAGUGUAACGAGCCUUUCUCCCAGAGUCUUCGAAUCGUCUGAUGGAAAGCGUCGCCAUCCGUUGCGUCAUCAUUCGAUCCGCGAACUCGAGUUCGAGCUGUCCGUCCGACGAAUCGUCGACACUCGAACGACCCUCUCGCGUCGUUUCGAAAUAUCGUUUUUUCUCCUUUUCACUCUCUCUCUCUCUUUCUCUCCGCCUUUACUAACGUUUCUUUUGCUCAUCCAACGUCCCUGUGCAAUAUUAUUCUUCGAGCAGUCGCACUCGUAUUUUUGACCUCAAUUAAUUUCUAUCUCUCGCUUGACUAUCGUUAAUGCUGCUUAGUCUAAAAACGAGAAAAUCAUCGGCUAUUGCGUUCACGGGAGGCGAGAGAAUGCGAUCAUUUUUACACUGUGCUUCAUUAGCUCAAAAAUAUUACACAGUUUUUCGAAAGCGUCUCACUACGACUUGCGACUCGGUUAUUUUGGCCCUCCGCGAAAAUCAGAUUAUCGUUGAUGUCCGACAGUCCUUCCAUAUUUCUGUCAAGACACUCGACUAUCGCGCUUCUUACUUUACUUCAUUCGCUUCUCCGGCCCAAAAUUUCAUUCCGAAAUUUCGUCGAUAUUUGUUGAAAUAAAAAUGAUUGAAAAUGAAACAAAAAUUAAGAAUUACUAUUCUCACAUUAAAAGUACAGUUUGAAGAUUGAUCGUGAAUUUUUUCAGAUUUUUUCAUCGAUAAUUCCGGGUGUGAUGGCGCGAAGACGAAAAGGACUCUGGUCCACGGAAUUAGGGUGCUUAAAAAACGUUCGCGGAUUAAGGCUCUCCACUUUACGGUGAAGGUACGACACAACCUUGGCCAAAGUGAGUCACCACCGAGAGCCACUGAUUCCUAUUCACUACAUUGCAUGUACACAAAUGGAAACGACUACGAAAAAACUGGAACGAGAAAUGAGAUCGAGGCGAAACACUGCUUUUUAUCAACUCCCUUUUUUCUCUGCGUAUUCCGCAGUUUUUUAAAAAUUAAAAAAUUUUUUUUUCGUUUCAUUUCACUCACAUUCUUCCAUGUUUGAACAUGUUUGAAAAUUACUGGGGACUUUGCAGAUAUUCGUGGAAACAGAAUGGUCAAUGUACGGAGAAAAUUAACUCGAGUCGAGAAUAGUUGGAGAAACUUCAAAUUGAGAGAGAGAGGACAUUUGGAAAAAUAUCGAAAAUUCAUUACCUGAAUAUUCGUUUCCAGGAUUACGCGAUCAUAUUUUUUGUAGGCAAACAUUGAAUACGUACUGGAUAGAUUUGCAAAAUUUGGACGCUGGUUACCAUGUAGUUUAGCUGCAAAUUAAUUAUUGAAUAUCGACUUUUCUAUGACAGUUAUCACACCGGCACAUGAAAGUCGUACACGCAUGAAAAGUUAUUGAAUUUUUUCAUUAGUUAUAUCCAAGAUUUCGCAAAAAAAAUCGAUCGUUGUAUUUCGUGAAUAUUCAAGAAUUUUUUUUCGUUUUUGUUUUUAAAUUUAUUUUUUAGUAUUUUUAGUAUUUUGGUUUUUGAAUCGUACCGUUGAAAGUUGGCCGAAAUAUUAUAUAAAAUAUCUGAUGAGAAAUCAUUCGGAUUACAUGAAAAAUGGAUUGGUAAUGUUUGGCAACGCUGCACUGCAGUUUCGCCACGUUUUUUUUUGUAAGUUUUUACAAAACGACUGCAAUUCUCCACUGCAAUACUACUUUGGACAGUAAACUCACUUCGUAGCCUAUAAAAUUUGUGAAGAAAACUGACAGCGUGACAUCAACCACAAACUCGAAAUGUUUUUUUUAUAAUAAAAUUGUAUAAAAAUGUU